This 77-nucleotide transfer RNA is filed under the name Gemmatimonadaceae bacterium. Its description in RNAcentral is "tRNA-Arg". It matches the Rfam family "tRNA". From Rfam's summary of the family: Transfer RNA (tRNA) molecules are approximately 80 nucleotides in length. Lineage: Bacteria; Pseudomonadati; Gemmatimonadota; Gemmatimonadia; Gemmatimonadales; Gemmatimonadaceae. The record is from RNAcentral. RNAcentral also lists the same sequence under 2 other names.
GCGCCAGUAGCUCAGUUGGAUAGAGCGGCAGCCUUCUAAGCUGCAGGUCGGGGGUUCGAUCCCCUCCUGGCGCACCA